GUUUGAUUAUUUUAUUUUUUUACUGCUCCUCCUUUUUUCCAUUUAUUCAUCCCUUCUUACUUGAUUUAUGAAUAAAAUCAACAUUUAGUUGCUGUUGCUAAGCCAUCAAACAUCUUUUUUUUUUCUCAUCAAUCAUCUCUAGGACGGAACUCUGAAUACCAAAAUCAAACGUAUAUGGUUGGCCAUUGCACUAGUCCAGGAGUAGGCAACCUUCGGCACUCUAGAUGUUGUGGACUACAUCUCCCGUAAUUCUCUUACAGUGAUACUGCUACCAAAGCAUCAUGGGAGAUGUAGCCCAAAAUAUCUGUAGUGGCGAUGGCUUCGGAGAUACAGAAUUUGACUGAACAGCAGAUCGGACCAAAUUACAAUUCAUCCGAUUCUGAAUGUACAAGUCUAGUUGGGAUAAUACUAGGGUUGAUAUUAAUGUUGCUAUUGUUAUGAAGUCUUUUUACUUCUAUUUGUACCCUGUAACAUUUAUUUUAUUGUCAAUUACUCAUUGAGUAUUUAGUUAACAGGGCUAGUGCAGAGGGAUCAGAAUUAUUAUUAUUUUUUACUCCUACUUGUAGAGUUGCAGGACUAGAACAAACCAAAUAUACAUAACCGAGUUGUACAGUUUUCUUUUAGAUGAGGAAAAGCUCUUUAGCUCCUAUAACAUUCUACCGAGUUUAUUUAAUAACAAGUGAAUCAUUUAUGUCAUAGCAUGGUGUCUUUAGUAAUUGGUAGCUGAAUUUGGCACAUUCCAAUGAUAGAAUCAAAUUGGCAAGUGUUGUCUAACGUAAAAAGAGUUUGUCAUGGAGAGUAGUGUGAUAACACGUUUGCAAGUAAUUUCCUAUAGAUCUAUAUAUUGUUUGAUACAGUGUUAUUGAAUACUAAAGAGUGCAGUUUAUAUCUCUGCACAGUGAUCACAGUGAUCAACAGUUACAUUGAUGCUAUUACAAAAGCCAUAAAACUUUGCAUUCUUUUUAUCUUUUGUGGACCAAUGAUGGUCUAUGCAAUGAGGUGUUUUAAGACACAUUUGCAAAAUAGAUGGGAUUUAAUUAAUGAGGCAUGGAUAUAUAGGCCUAACAAUUAUACAAAUUAGGACCAAUGGCUGCAUAAGGUCUAAAUUGUGAUGUUUUCAAAAUGUAGCAUCUGGUCCUUAAAGGAUUAAGCUGUAUAUUUUCACAGCAGAACCUAUAGAUUAAAGGAACGCUUCAUUGCCCCACCUCAAAAAAGAUAUAGCUCCAAUGAAAACAUGCAUGCAUUUUUCUCAUUGGUGGUUUAUCUAAAAACAGCUUUUGUCUGCAGCCUUUGCAAGCUCUCCCUUUUUUCCCCAGCAUAGACCUUCAGUUUGUGUUGAGGAACAUUCCGAGUAGUGACUUCUCAUUGAGAAGUCGCUGUGCUGGACCCACAAGGAAGCAGUAGAGAAGUUUUAUGGCUGUCAAUCAAGUGUUUCUGAUCCCAAUUAUAAAGAUGCUGAUUUCUAUUGAAAUUAGCACUUUUGGACACAGUCACACAUGUUACGGGCUCCAGACACAUAAAGCACUUCAGCAAGCUCAAAGUAUAUGACCUAACUAAAGGGUGGCAUGACAUCCAUCCAUAUGUUUAUGAAAGAUAUGAUCACUUUAAGCAAGACCCUUCCUUAUUAUUUAUUGGUCUCACUUUAGCAUAUUGUCUACUCUUCAUUGAUUAUUUUUGUUUCACCAAAGUAUAAGCAAUAAUGUUAUUUUUAAAAACUUGUAUUAAACACGAGGGAUACAGUUAAUGUACUGAACCAAUUUUGUCUGGAAAAAAAAACAUUAUUUGUGCCAUUUUGCUAAAUUAAUUAAAAGUUGAACUGUGAAAUUGGUCUCCAAACAGGCAAUCUUAAAUUGCACUUUACAAAAUAAAAACGAUGUACUUUGUGUUUGUACAGUUGUGCGUGAAAACAUGUAUUGGUUGUUCAGAUAGUUAAAUAAGGUUGAAAAUAAUAAUGCUAAAGGCAUUGCUUUCCAAUACAAUUAGGACUGAUAGUAAAAAGAAUCAAGUACUUAGUAAAGAUGUUUUAUCAAAUACAAAAUGUUUCAUAAAAAUCAAGAUGAUUUAAAUUGUUCCUGAAAAUGUGCAUUGAGUGUUUUCUGAAACACACGGAGGGUUAUUCGUUAACAUGUGAAUUCAAAGUGAAUUUUACGUUUUAGGUCACAAUGACUGUACUAAAACAUAGCUGACUUAAAUAUAUAUAUAUUUUUUAAUACGUUCAUCUCACAUUUGAAAUUCACUUUAGGGAAUUAUCCUGCUGGUAUAGAAAUUGUGAUGAAUUCACUUGCCUGAGAUCAUUUUAUGCUUAAGUGUUUUAUAAUAGUUUCUAUCAUUUAUUUUAUUUUUCUUUUGAAUACAUGUUCACUUGUGUUAGCUAUGGAGAAUUGCAUAGCUAAAAUCAUGGUAUUAAUAUAAAUUUACUUUAAGGGACACUCUAAGCAUUAACAUUAGCAAUGCCAGAACCAGAAUUUUUUACAUGGUCUUUACUUAUCCCCUAAAACUAACAAAUAUGUUUCUUGUUAGGUCUAAAAAACUAAAAUUAAAUAUAGAAAUUAACACAAUUAAUUUGGGACUGGACACCUCCAUUUUGCCUCCCUGGAAGUCAUUACAAAUGUUACCAUUUUCUGGCAUUGAACAUUGUCAUGAAACAGGAGAAACUGAAACAAUGGUACCAUUCUCCUUAUUUGCAUUAAAUGCCCUAGUUGUGCCCAGACUGAACAAACUUGUGAUGUCACUUGUUAAAAUUUUUAUAUACAAUUUAGAAGAAAAUGGAGCCUGAAGAAACGGUUAACAUAACUUAUAGAUGACUUUCAAUGUUUUAUUCAUAAUGUGAAUUUCCAAAGAAGUGACCAUUUCAUACAGGAAUGAAAGCGAAAUCUCUCUUAACGACAAUUUCUGAAUUAAAUUCAUGCUCUGUCAUUGCUUAUCACUGAAAUUAAAUGUCACUGUUUAGACAUAAAAUGUGCAAGGUUAUUGGCAUUAAUUCUGCAUAAUUGUUUCUAAUGCUGUAUGAGUUAUCAAUAAAAAAAACAAAAAACCUUAAAGUCAUAUUUCUUUUGUUGCAAGUUUUGUCACGGGUUUGCCAUUUUUGCAUUUUCUUUUUGACAGUAUUUGCACAUUAUUUCCAUGCUAGAAGCACUGUUAAUGUAGGUAAAAGCACAAUUGUUUGUACAUAGGGAUAUAGAACCACUAGACACAGGUUGCUUAUUUAUGUUUAAUUAGAUUUUACAGAGUCAUUUCUCCUGGUACUUAUGACUACAUGAUAUUUUGUAGACAUUUGCAAUUGUCUCUCAUUGAAGAUCGCUGUACAAUAAUU
Non-coding RNA from Pelobates cultripes (western spadefoot toad), 3313 nucleotides. Lineage: Eukaryota; Metazoa; Chordata; Amphibia; Anura; Pelobatidae. The record is from the annotation of a GenBank genome assembly.